UGGGGAAUAUUGCACAAUGGGCGAAAGCCUGAUGCAGCGACGCCGCGUGAGCGAAGAAGUAUUUCGGUAUGUAAAGCUCUAUCAGCAGGGAAGAUAAUGACGGUACCUGACUAAGAAGCACCGGCUAAAUACGUGCCAGCAGCCGCGGUAAUACGUAUGGUGCAAGCGUUAUCCGGAUUUACUGGGUGUAAAGGGAGCGUAGGUGGUUUGGUAAGUCAGAUGUGAAAGCCCGGGGCUCAACCCCGGUACUGCAUUUGAAACUACCAGACUAGAGUGCAGGAGAGGUAAGUGGAAUUCCUAGUGUAGCGGUGAAAUGCGUAGAUAUUAGGAGGAACACCAGUGGCGAAGGCGGCUUACUGGACUGUAACUGACACUGAGGCUCGAAAGCGUGGGGAGCAAACAGG
Molecule: ribosomal RNA, 404 nt
Filed under: uncultured prokaryote
Also listed under: 1 other name
Description: bacterial SSU rRNA
Rfam family: Bacterial small subunit ribosomal RNA
Source: RNAcentral